CUUCGUUAGUAGGUGAGUCAGGCUCGGACCCGCAGAUGUCGAAGUAGAGCCAAGUCCCUGCCUGAGAUUCCAAAGGUGCUGGUGUCUUCUCUUCAGUCACUUCACUCUCUUCUUCGUUUUCUAAAUAUAACCAUAUAGGUAUAUAUAUAAGAAUGAAUGCCAUGUAAUGCUUAUGAGAGUGCAUAGAUAAUAAAGGUUUAUUAACUAAGUUUUGAAUACAACUUUCCUUCACGGAACUCCGAGAACUUAGGGUUUCCGGAGUCAGUAAAGGAGUUCAAAGGGCAGGGGUAGGGUUUGGGUUAUAAGUAUCAAACAAUGUCCAAAUCAUAUCAAACUCUACCCAAGGUCUCAAAAUAUUGUUGAGAGAUUACCCUAAAAAUUUAGUGAAUUUUGGAUUUAUUAUAUAAUCUCUAAAAAUCCAGAAACAUGGUUUUUGGAUGAUUUAAAUACUCUAUAAUUUCCUAUUUGGACUAAAAAUCAUGAAACUAUUUUUAUUAAAUUCUAUAGGAAAUUAGAAGCCCAUUAAAAUUGGUUUGGUAUUUUUAUCAUUUUUCUUGAAUUCUUUAUGGAUUUCUCAACUUUCUUAGAAAAAGAAAAAGAAAAACGUUCAAUAGUAUUGGGCCAAAUUGUGCCCAACCGGCCCAGUUUAAGCAGAUUACAGGGGCGCGCCCGCGGCAGCGCAGCCUGUUUUGCAUAAAAGUCCUUGCCAGAGUUAAUAUUAGGAACGAAGUCCUCAACUGAACUCUGCGAGUCACUGACAUUUUACUUCUGGCCCCUUCUAGGUUUCUCGUCUUUACAACGUGAGUCCCUGACGUCGCCGGCGGCGCGGACGCAUUCCCACCGCGACACAACGGCGGAGGAGAGCCCGGGCAGCCGUUGGAUAGCGACCAGACCAAAUCCUAACCUACCCCGAGCAUCUAUAGGCAUGGAUUUGACUCACUAACUUACAGAGUGCCAUGACCACGUUCAAGGCGGGAGCCCAGUACCGCGACGUUCACCCAAAUGGCUCCGGCACAGGAUGUUUCAAAUUGAGGGCACAUGGAGCACGAGUAGGGUGCGGGAAACACGACGCUCACAAGAAUUGCCCCUGGGCCAACUGAACUUUGAGUGGGUCAUCACCAGGACAGUUCACGCGGUGUCAAGCCCGUGUUCCGACCAAACCAAGACCGUAAGGACCAAACGGACUUCUCGGUGAGCUUCACCAAGGUACGGGGAUGCUAGAACAUCAGCUUGUGGGGGUUAAGACAUACCACAGUCGUCUGGCCACGUGAAGCCGAGGUGUUGCCGGGGUGGUCAUCAAAUAAGUUUGGUGCCUUGAUCGAUGGAACUUGGGUGUGUCUAGGGUAUGAUUUGGGGGUGUAGUACUACUAAUCAUGGCUGCUCAACAUGGUUGAUGGUGAACUAAGGAUCACUGGUUGGGUUCCUACCUUUCCCUCCCCAGUUGCUCUUUAUAUAGGCAGGGAAAAGAUCACAGGGGUUGGAUGCUUGAACUUGCAGCAAGGACAGCUAUGAACUCUAAAUGCAGUCGUGGCUUCCUCCAGUAAAUCCAUGCCAACACAUAGAGCCUAGCUACGCAGGGUGGAGAUUAUCCAUGGGCAAAAGAAAAGAGGGGGUAAGGAUGAGGUGCACUGUACAGGAUAUUUGCACAGGUGAUAUUUCAGGGAUGCACCAAUCUGAAUACCCUUGCCAGCACACCAUCCCAAUCUUCAUCCUAUUCCAAAGUUGGUCACGGCAAGAAAAACUGAACUUGGUCACUUCUAGCAGCCAAAUAUCUGAUUUGUCCCUUUCUGUAGACAGUAAACCAACAGAUAAGAAUUCUAGUGUGUGCAGACUUAAAUGGAUCCAAACUGAUAUUUCUAAAGGGAUGAAGCCACUAGAACUGCUGCUGUCCAGCAUACCCCAUUAAAGAUUCAUUAGAUGAGGACCCCCUCUCAUUCACUGCUCACAAAAUAGGUCAAAAUUUGGAUAUUUUUUAGUAGAUCUGAGGCCACUAGAUCCCUGGCUCUGGACUUCGACCUUAUCCCUACCCAAACAUCCAAAGAAACCAGCAGGGAGAGGAGAUAAUCUUCUUCAGAAACUGUCUUCAGUCCUAAACGAAUUACUGUUGCUUAGCUGGACUGACAGGGGCCUUUCAAGGUCAUUCCCUUACAUUUUCCCUGUAGCAACACCUUAAUUUAAUCAUAGGAAACUUGCUCAUUGACUAUAGCUCUUCAACCCACUACAACAUUCCACUGCUAGAAACACAUGGAUCACAAACUAUAAGGUUCCAAAGCCAAGCACACACUCUGAAACUCUUCUUCAGAGAGCUGAACUCAAAUGCAACCCUUUAAGUCUGACAAGGCAUAUUAGAGAGCAUUUUACUCACAAUUCCAUAUGACAACAGACCCAUCUCCCUUAACAAGCCUUAUUCUCCAACCAUAGGUCUUCCACUUUGGUACAACACUCCAAAGCUGAAACUACUCAGAAUUGAAGUUGUGGUGUUCCAAAUUAUAGCAGAAACAGUCAAACACUCGGUCUCAGCUUAACUGAACAGCCCUCACUAUUUCUGACAGAGGACGUUACAGCUCCAUUAUCUCUCAAUCUUUACAUAACAACAGGACCAUCUCCUUGCAUGAAACUUGUCCAUCUAUAUCUGGUAUCCAACUUUGCUAUAGAAACUAUAGUCUAAAACUACUCAUAUUGAUCACAAAACAGCUCCAAAUUAAGCAUCCUAUACUGAAAUUCAGGUUUCAGAGACUGAACCCAAAGCAGUUGGAACCAGCCUGACAGUCCAAUUUUGAGCCACUUUUACUCCUUUUUCUGUGUAGCACCAAACCAAACUCACUUAAAGAAAUUUGUUCUCCUAUAUAUGGUAUUCCAUUUUGAUAUACAACUCUUGGUCUAAAACCAUAUAUAUUAAUCACAACUGAGCUCCAAACAGAGCAUCAUUGGCUGUUUUUCAGAGUUUCAGCUCUGAACCACUAAGUCACCAAUAUACUGACAGUCCAUUUUUAGGCAAGCUUUACUCCAAAUUUUGCAUGGGGUCAUGUCAAACUCACUUAAUAAAACUUGUUCACCAUCAUAUGGACUUCAACUUCUCUAUAAACACCAUAGUCCAAAGUUCUAUGGUUUAGCCACAAAUGAGCUCCAAACAGCAUACUCAACACUGAAACUCCACUCCACUAUUCACUAUCUGAGAUUCCAUGAGUCUGUCAACACUUCUUUGGACCACCUUUUCUGCUGGUAGCAUAUACUUUUAAGGCAAAGUUGCUUAACAAAUUUUGUACUUCAAUAGUUCCUCUACAAUUUCUAUAUAGUGACCCUUAGCUAAACCCUUUUGGAUUCCACUCUACCACAACCCAAAGUUUGCACAAAAUACUGAAAUUCAGACUGUAUUUUAUUAAGUCUGAACCCCACACUUUCCACCAGCUCUACUUUAGACCAGUUCUUCUCCAAAUUCCAUAUAGAUUUAAGGCUAGGUUACUCAAUCAAAGUCACACUCCUCACAUAGCUUUAUAAUUUUUUUACAAUGACUACCUUCAAAAUGUUUAUAGAUCAGAAGUUAUAAAGGACCAAAACUGCCUAGUUGCUACUAUUUUCAGCAAUUCCAAUCUGAGCUCAAAACUGAACUUUGAUGAUUUACUCCAAUUUUCUUCACACAACAUGGGAAUCUCCAAAUAAGAAAUUCAUUCACUUUUUCAAGCUCCACAACUUUGAUAUAUGGAUUUUUGUCAAAUUACUUCUAGAUUUUGAAUUCCUCUUUUGGGCUAGUUUUAGUGUUUCACAUGUUCUUCAUUUUCUUCAAGUGUUUCUUCCACUUGCUCUACCUUUGAAAACAAGGUUGCCAUAAACUCUAGGACUUGCCUUUAGCACUUGAAGUUUCCAAGUCAAUUUGUUACUUGCUCAAGAGUUGACCUACUCUUGUCUAGCUUAAGCCAAGUCCUUAAACUAAACUCUAACAACACACAACAUCACACUGUUUGAAAAAAAAUUAACCUAGUGAAUGCAUUCUAAGUGUAACAAGCACAUUAAUACAGAUGCUUAUGAUGACAUGUCAGAGUUUUAGUUUACGUAACACCAGAGGUGUUACAACCUUCCCCCCUAAAAAGAAAUCUCGUCCCGAGAUUUAAAAGUCUAGGCUUAGUAAUGAAAAAGGAAACGUGUCACGGACUUAUUUCCUAAUUUCUCUUACAAGGUAGGGGAGGUGUUUUGUUUUACUUAACCACGAUGUUGUUCAACACCUCUAAGGCAGUUACCUGAGCUCCUUCCCAAGGAGUCAUUCCUUUAGAAUGGAACAUCCAAUGUGGCCAAGAUGGUUUUCUAGCACGUUCUGGAAUACGCACUACUACUCAUACCAUGGUUGUCCUCUAAGAAUAGUGUGCGACAACAUUUCUCUAAGGGGGAAAUCUUUUAUUAGCAUAGUUCUUAGCAUGAUGCAUGUAUAAUUACAGAAUCAACCUUAGUUGAUUCAACCUUCUAUGCAUUACACUCUUCCUAUCUGGUCUUUAAAAUAAACUCUUCAGAAACACUUAGGUAAGAAGGGAAGAAAUUUUGUAGAUAAGUCUUUAGAAAAUUCUUUUUGAAGAUGUCUCAUAAUAUCUGCAGAGAUGGGCUUCGCUUCGAUACCAGCUGUGACGGAACCUCCCAAGUAAUUAGGCCCACCUACAGUUGUCCUUGUCCAACAGACAUCAGACAACCCUGUAGAUGUUCCUGAAUCACUUGACAAGUUCGGUAUCUUCUUUUCUCACCUUUCCCAAGAGCGUUUCACCCGUCUUGCAGACAUUACAGAACAUCGGAGAUAUAGAAAUGCGGAAGCAAUUAUAUAAACUUACAUUUAUUUAGAAAGUAAGAUCAAGUUAUUUAUUACAGACCAGAGUUAUAAAACGAGUGCAGGGUAGUAUUAUUACACAUACCAGGGGAGGCAAAAACUCCUCCCGAUAACUAUCAAACAAAGGUUCUUAUGGAGGACCACGUCCUCCCGCAUCUUCACUCUUGUUUUUCUUCAUUUGACACCACCUUGGAGCAAAAGCAACAAAAAUUUGUCGCUUCCUCACCUAAAAACAACGGAGGGAUAAACCCUGAGUAUGGAAUUACUCACCAAGUCUUACCCGACUAAGGAAAAGACUCUCAAGGGUAUGCUGGAUAAUUAGGAAUCAAGGAGAGGCUUUAGCAAAAAUCAACUUAGAUACUUUUGCAGAAAUAGCUUACUAAAGUGAGUCCUUACUUUCAAUAUUUUAACACCAUAUUAAGUAUUAAUUGACUCUAUUUGCAUCUAGUCUAAUUUCACCAUCUCAUCAAUACAACAUCAUUUUUAUUCAUAAUGUUCACAUCCUGACUUAGGUUGUAGGGAAGUGACCAAGUCUUCAUAACCGCGAAGGUACGGCGAUCUGAAUCGAUUAUACUCAGCUGAGGAUCUCCAAUCACACGACAUAUGUAGCACUUAACCCUUGCAUAUGUCAACCCGCCACCGGGGUUCUUAAGACCAGAUCAGGUUCACGCAAACCGAGAGCACAGAUACACCACCGUCCAGCCUCUUGCCACGGAGGGUACACGCUACUCUCGCCACCGCUCCACGCCCAUUUCGUGUUAUCUUAUUCUGGCCUUAGUCUUCCCGAGGCAAGGCUUACCCAUGACGAGGCAUGUGACCAGUUAAAGGGUCCUCGAUCAGCACGCCUACAUACACGUUCAAUCCUUAAUCAACCUGGGUAGAACAUCACCUGUUCCUAACCCAAGUCUCAAUUUAAGUAUUCCCAUCCUUAGGAUUGUUUCUGUUCCUUAGGAUGAGAAGAGCAUCAUAGGGAACUUUACAGUAAGAUCCCACCAUUGCUCCAAAUGAAAAUAUUCUUGCAGGUAGAAGUCAUCCUUUCUCGAGCUAGGCUAAGGACAACCUCUAUCCACAAGAUCUGAGCAAGGCUAAGCAUUUUUGUAAAUCAUAUUUUGAUACUUCACUGAAGUAUCUAUAAAGGUAUGGAUAUCAAGGAAAGCAAUGCAUCAAAGGGUUCCAAGCAACUCCUAUGAACCUAAUGCACAUUUCAUUAGACUUAAAGUGUGCGAAAAUUAUUUAAAAACACAAGGAAAGGGUUGCAUGCACCGGGGCUUGCCUUCGUUAGUAGGUGAGUCAGGCUCGGACCCGCAGAUGUCGAAGUAGAGCCAAGUCCCUGCCUGAGAUUCCAAAGGUGGUGGUGUCUUCUCUUCAGUCACUUCACUCUCUUCUUCGUUUUCUAAAUAUAACCAUAUAGGUAUAUAUAUAAGAAUGAAUGCCAUGUAAUGCUUAUGAGAGUGCAUAGAUAAUAAAGGUUUAUUAACUAAGUUUUGAAUACAACUUUCCUUCACGGAACUCCGAGAACUUAGGGUUUCCGGAGUCAGUAAAGGAGUUCAAAGGGCAGGGGUAGGGUUUGGGUUAUAAGUAUCAAACAAUGUCCAAAUCAUAUCAAACUCUACCCAAGGUCUCAUAAUAUUGUUGAGAGAUUACCCUAAAAAUUUAGUGAAUUUUGGAUUUAUUAUAUAAUCUCUAAAAAUUCAGAAACAUGGUUUUUGGAUGAUUUAAAUACUCUAUAAUUUCCUAUUUGGACUAAAAAUCAUGAAACUAUUUUUAUUAAAUUCUAUAGGAAAUUAGAAGCCCAUUAAAAUUGGUUUGGUAUUUUUAUCAUUUUUCUUGAAUUCUUUAUGGAUUUCUCAACUUUCUUAGAAAAAGAAAAAGAAAAACGUUCAAUAGUAUUGGGCCAAAUUGUGCCCAACCGGCCCAGUUUAAGCAGAUUACAGGGGCGCGCCCGCGGCAGCGCAGCCUGUUUUGCAUAAAAGUCCUUGCCAGAGUUAAUAUUAGGAACGAAGUCCUCAACUGAACUCUGCGAGUCACUGACAUUUUACUUCUGGCCCCUUCUAGGUUUCUCGUCUUUACAACGUGAGUCCCUAACGUCGCCGGCGGCGCGGACGCAUUCCCACCGCGACACAACGGCGGAGGAGAGCCCGGGCAGCCGUUGGAUAGCGACCAGACCAAAUCCUAACCUACCCCGAGCAUCUAUAGGCAUGGAUUUGACUCACUAACUUACAGAGUGCCAUGACCACGUUCAAGGCGGGAGCCCAGUACCGCGACGUUCACCCAAAUGGCUCCGGCACAGGAUGUUUCAAAUUGAGGGCACAUGGAGCACGAGUAGGGUGCGGGAAACACGACGCUCACAAGAAUUGCCCCUGGGCCAACUGAACUUUGAGUGGGUCAUCACCUGGACAGUUCACGCGGUGUCAAGCCCGUGUUCCGACCAAACCAAGACCGUAAGGACCAAACGGACUUCUCGGUGAGCUUCACCAAGGUACGGGGAUGCUAGAACAUCAGCUUGUGGGGGUUAAGACAUACCACAGUCGUCUGGCCACGUGAAGCCGAGGUGUUGCCGGGGUGGUCAUCAAAUAAGUUUGGUGCCUUGAUCGAUGGAACUUGGGUGUGUCUAGGGUAUGAUUUGGGGGUGUAGUACUACUAAUCAUGGCUGCUCAACAUGGUUGAUGGUGAACUAAGGAUCACUGGUUGGGUUUCUACCUUUCCCUCCCCAGUUGCUCUUUAUAUAGGCAGGGAAAAGAUCACAGGGGUUGGAUGCUUGAACUUGCAGCAAGGACAGCUAUGAACUCUAAAUGCAGUCGUGGCUUCCUCCAGUAAAUCCACGCCAACACAUAGAGCCUAGCUACGCAGGGUGGAGAUUAUCCAUGGGCAAAAGAAAAGAGGGGGUAAGGAUGAGGUGCACUGUACAGGAUAUUUGCACAGGUGAUAUUUCAGGGAUGCACCAAUCUGAAUACCCUUGCCAGCACACCAUCCCAAUCUUCAUCCUAUUCCAAAGUUGGUCACGGCAAGAAAAACUGAACUUGGUCACUUCUAGCAGCCAAAUAUCUGAUUUGUCCCUUUCUGUAGAUAGUAAACCAACAGAUAAGAAUUCUAGUGUGUGCAGACUUAAAUGGAUCCAAACUGAUAUUUCUAAAGGGAUGAAGCCACUAGAACUGCUGCUGUCCAGCAUACCCCAUUAAAGAUUCAUUAGAUGAGGACCCCCUCUCAUUCACUGCUCACAAAAUAGGUCAAAAUUUGGAUAUUUUUUAGUAGAUCUGAGGCCACUAGAUCCCUGGCUCUGGACUUCGACCUUAUACCUACCCAAACAUCCAAAGAAACCAGCAGGGAGAGGAGAUAAUCUUCUUCAGAAACUGUCUUCAGUCCUAAACGAAUUACUGUUGCUUAGCUGGACUGACAGGGGCCUUUCAAGGUCAUUCCCUUACAUUUUCCCUGUAGCAACACCUUAAUUUAAUCAUAGGAAACUUGCUCAUUGACUAUAGCUCUUCAACCCACUACAGCAUUCCACUGCUAGAAACACAUGGAUCACAAACUAUAAGGUUCCAAAGCCAAGCACACACUCUGAAACUCUUCUUCAGAGAGCUGAACUCAAAUGCAACCCUUUAAGUCUGACAAGGCAUAUUAGAGAGCAUUUUACUCACAAUUCCAUAUGACAACAGACCCAUCUCCCUUAACAAGCCUUAUUCUCCAACCAUAGGUCUUCCACUUUGGUACAACACUCCAAAGCUGAAACUACUCAGAAUUGAAGUUGUGGUGUUCCAAAUUAUAGCAGAAACAGUCAAACACUCGGUCUCAGCUUAACUGAACAGCCCUCACUAUUUCUGACAGAGGACGUUACAGCUCCAUUAUCUCUCAAUCUUUACAUAACAACAGGACCAUCUCCUUGCAUGAAACUUGUCCAUCUAUAUCUGGUAUCCAACUUUUCUAUAGAAACUAUAGUCUAAAACUACUCAUAUUGAUCACAAAACAGCUCCAAAUUAAGCAUCCUAUACUGAAAUUCAGGUUUCAGAGACUGAACCCAAAGCAGUUGGAACCAGCCUGACAGUCCAAUUUUGAGCCACUUUUACUCCUUUUUCUGUGUAGCACCAAACCAAACUCACUUAAAGAAAUUUGUUCUCCUAUAUAUGGUCUUCCAUUUUGAUAUACAACUCUUGGUCUAAAACCAUAUAUAUUAAUCACAACUGAGCUCCAAACAGAGCAUCAUUGGCUGUUUUUCAGAGUUUCAGCUCUGAACCACUAAGUCACCAAUAUACUGACAGUCCAUUUUUAGGCAAGCUUUACUCCAAAUUUUGCAUGGGGUCAUGUCAAACUCACUUAAUAAAACUUGUUCACCAUCAUAUGGACUUCAACUUCUCUAUAAACACCAUAGUCCAAAGUUCUAUGGUUUAGCCACAAAUGAGCUCCAAACAGCAUACUCAACACUGAAACUCCACUCACUUCACUAUUCACUAUCUGAAAUUCCAUGAGUCUGUCAACACUUCUUUGGACCACCUUUUCUGCUGGUAGCAUAUACUUUUAAGGCAAAGUUGCUUAACAAAUUUUGUACUUCAAUAGUUCCUCUACAAUUUCUAUAUAGUGACCCUUAGCUAAACCCUUUUGGAUUCCACUCUACCACAACCCAAAGUUUGCACAAAAUACUGAAAUUCAGACUGUAUUUUAUUAAGUUUGAACCCCACACUUUCCAGCAGCUCUACUUUAGACCAGUUCUUCUCCAAAUUCCAUAUAGAUUUAAGGCUAGGUUACUCAAUCAAAGUCACACUCCUCACAUAGCUUUAUAAUUUUUUUACAAUGACUACCUUCAAAAUGUUUAUAGAUCAGAAGUUAUAAAGGACCAAAACUUCCUAGUUGCUACUAUUUUCAGCAAUUCCAAUCUGAGCUCAAAACUGAACUUUGAUGAUUUACUCCAAUUUUCUUCACACAACAUGGGAAUCUCCAAAUAAGAAAUUCAUUCACUUUUUCAAGCUCCACAACUUUGAUAUAUGGACUUUUGUCAAAUUACUUCUAGAUUUUGAAUUCCUCUUUUGGGCUAGUUUUAGUGUUUCACAUGUUCUUCAUUUUCUUCAAGUGUUUCUUCCACUUGCUCUACCUUUGAAAACAAGGUUGCCAUAAACUCUAGGACUUGCCUUUAGCACUUGAAGUUUCCAAGUCAAUUUGUUAUUUGCUCAAGAGUUGACCUACUCUUGUCUAGCUUAAGCCAAGUCCUUAAACUAAACUCUAACAACACACAACAUCACACUGUUUGAAAAAAAAUUAACCUAGUGAAUGCAUUCUAAGUGUAACAAGCACAUUAAUGCAGAUGCUUAUGAUGACAUGUCGGAGUUUUAGUUUACGUAACACCAGAGGUGUUACAACCUUCCCCCCUAAAAAGAAAUCUCGUCCCGAGAUUUAAAAGUCUAGGCUUAGUAAUGGAAAAGGAAACGUGUCACGGACUUAUUUCCUAAUUUCUCUUACAAGGUAGGGGAGGUGUUUUGUUUUACUUAACCACGAUGUUGUUCAACACCUCUAAGGCAGUUACCUAAGCUCCUUCCCAAGGAGUCAUUCCUUUAGAAUGGAACAUCCAAUGUGGCCAAGAUGGUUUUCUAGCACGUUCUGGAAUACGCACUACUACUCAUACCAUGGUUGUCCUCUAAGAAUAGUGUGCGACAACAUUUCUCUAAGGGGGAAAUCUUUUAUUAGCAUAGUUCUUAGCAUGAUGCAUGUAUAAUUACAGAAUCAACCUUAGUUGAUUCAACCUUCUAUGCAUUACACUCUUCCUAUCUGGUCUUUAAAAUAAACUCUUCAGAAACACUUAGGUAAGAAGGGAAGAAAUUUUUUAGAUAAGUCUUUAGAAAAUUCUUUUUGAAGAUGCCUCAUAAUAUCUGCAGAGAUGGGCUUCGCUCCGAUACCAGCUGUGACGGAACCUCCCAAGUAAUUAGGCCCACCUACAGUUGUCCUUGUCCAACAGACAUCAGACAACCCUGUAGAUGUUCCUGAAUCACUUGACAAGUUCGGUAUCUUCUUUUCUCACCUUUCCCAAGAGCGUUUCACCCGUCUUGCAGACAUUACAGAACAUCGGAGAUAUAGAAAUGCGGAAGCAAUUAUAUAAACUUACAUUUAUUUAGAAAGUAAGAUCAAGUUAUUUAUUACAGACCAGAGUUAUAAAACGAGUGCAGGGUAGUAUUAUUACACAUACCAGGGGAGGCAAAAACUCCUCCCGAUAACUAUCAAACAAAGGUUCUUAUGGAGGACCACGUCCUCCCGCAUCUUCACUCUUGUUUUUCUUCAUUUGACACCACCUUGGAGCAAAAGCAACAAAAAUUUGUCGCUUCCUCACCUAAAAACAACGGAGGGAUAAACCCUGAGUAUGGAAUUACUCACCAAGUCUUACCCGACUAAGAAAAAGACUCUCAAGGGUAUGCUGGAUAAUUAGGAAUCAAGGAGAGGCUUUAGCAAAAAUCAACUUAGAUACUUUUGCAGAAAUAGCUUACUAAAGUGAGUCCUUACUUUCAAUAUUUUAACACCAUAUUAAGUAUUAAUAGACUCUAUUUGCAUCUAGUCUAAUUUCACCAUCUCAUCAAUACAACAUCAUUUUUAUUCAUAAUGUUCACAUCCUGACUUAGGUUGUAGGGAAGUGACCAAGUCUUCAUAACCGCGAAGGUACGGCGAUCUGAAUCGAUUAUACUCAGCUGAGGAUCUCCAAUCACACGACAUAUGUAGCACUUAACCCUUGCAUAUGUCAACCCGCCACCGGGGUUCUUAAGACCAGAUCAGGUUCACGCAAACCGAGAGCACAGAUACACCACCGUCCAGCCUCUUGCCACGGAGGGUACACGCUACUCUCGCCACCGCUCCACGCCCAUUUCGUGUUAUCUUAUUUUGGCCUUAGUCUUCCCGAGGCAAGGCUUACCCAUGACGAGGCAUGUGACCAGUUAAAGGGUCCUCGAUCAGCACGCCUACAUACACGUUCAAUCCUUAAUCAACCUGGGUAGAACAUCACCUGUUCCUAACCCAAGUCUCAAUUUAAGUAUUCCCAUCCUUAGGAUUGUUUCUGUUCCUUAGGAUGAGAAGAGCAUCAUAGGGAACUUUACAGUAAGAUCCCACCAUUGCUCCAAAUGAAAAUAUUCUUGCAGGUAGAAGUCAUCCUUUCUCGAGCUAGGCUAAGGACAACCUCUAUCCACAAGAUCUGAGCAAGGCUAAGCAUUUUUGUAAAUCAUAUUUUGAUACUUCACUGAAGUAUCUAUAAAGGUAUGGAUAUCAAGGAAAGCAAUGCAUCAAAGGGUUCCAAGCAACUCCUAUGAACCUAAUGCACAUUUCAUUAGACUUAAAGUGUGCGAAAAUUAUUUAAAAACACAAGGAAAGGGUUGCAUGCACCGGGGCUUGCCUUCGUUAGUAGGUGAGUCAGGCUCGGACCCGCAGAUGUCGAAGUAGAGCCAAGUCCCUGCCUGAGAUUCCAAAGGUGGUGGCGUCUUCUCUUCAGUCACUUCACUCUCUUCUUCGUUUUCUAAAUAUAACCAUAUAGGUAUAUAUAUAAGAAUGAAUGCCAUGUAAUGCUUAUGAGAGUGCAUAGAUAAUAAAGGUUUAUUAACUAAGUUUUGAAUACAACUUUCCUUCACGGAACUCCGAGAACUUAGGGUUUCCGGAGUCAGUAAAGGAGUUCAAAGGGCAGGGGUAGGGUUUGGGUUAUAAGUAUCAAACAAUGUCCAAAUCAUAUCAAACUCUACCCAAGGUCUCAAAAUAUUGUUGAGAGAUUACCCUAAAAAUUUAGUGAAUUUUGGAUUUAUUAUAUAAUCUCUAAAAAUUCAGAAACAUGGUUUUUGGAUGAUUUAAAUACUCUAUAAUUUCCUAUUUGGACUAAAAAUCAUGAAACUAUUUUUAUUAAAUUCUAUAGGAAAUUAGAAGCCCAAUAAAAUUGGUUUGGUAUUUUUAUCAUUUUUCUUGAAUUCUUUAUGGAUUUCUCAACUUUCUUAGAAAAAGAAAAAGAAAAACGUUCAAUAGUAUUGUGCCAAAUUGUGCCCAACCGGCCCAGUUUAAGCAGAUUACAGGGGCGCGCCCGCGGCAGCGCAGCCUGUUUUGCAUAAAAGUCCUUGCCAGAGUUAAUAUUAGGAACGAAGUCCUCAACUAAACUCUGCGAGUCACUGACAUUUUACUUCUGGCCCCUUCUAGGUUUCUCGUCUUUACAACGUGAGUCCCUGACGUCGUCGGCGGCGCGGACGCAUUCCCACCGCGACACAACGGCGGAGGAGAGCCUGGGCAGCCGUUGGAUAGCGACCAGACCAAAUCCUAACCUACCCCGAGCAUCUAUAGGCAUGGAUUUGACUCACUAACUUACAGAGUGCCAUGACCACGUUCAAGGCGGGAGCCCAGUACCGCGACGUUCACCCAAAUGGCUCCGGCACAGGAUGUUUCAAAUUGAGGGCACAGGGAGCACGAGUAGGAUGCGGGAAACACGACGCUCACAAGAAUUGCCCCUGGGCCAACUGAACUUUGAGUGGGUCAUCACCAGGACAGUUCACGCGGUGUCAAGCCCGUGUUCCGACCAAACCAAGACCGUAAGGACCAAACGGACUUCUCGGUGAGCUUCACCAAGGUACGGGGAUGCUAGAACAUCAGCUUGUGGGGGUUAAGACAUACCACAGUCGUCUGGCCACGUGAAGCCGAGGUGUUGCCGGGGUGGUCAUCAAAUAAGUUUGGUGCCUUGAUCGAUGGAACUUAGGUGUGUCUAGGGUAUGAUUUGGGGGUGUAGUACUACUAAUCAUGGCUGCUCAACAUGG
This 13554-nucleotide long non-coding RNA is filed under the name Zea mays. RNAcentral describes it as "long non-coding RNA (ZMAY_LNC002194)". Lineage: Eukaryota; Viridiplantae; Streptophyta; Magnoliopsida; Poales; Poaceae. The record is from RNAcentral.